Molecule: non-coding RNA, 148 nt
Filed under: Chlorocebus sabaeus (green monkey)
Lineage: Eukaryota; Metazoa; Chordata; Mammalia; Primates; Cercopithecidae
Source: Rfam by way of RNAcentral
GCCGGGCUUGGUGGUGGGCGCCUUUAAUCCCAGCUACUUGGGAGGCUGAGGCAGGAGAAUUGCUUGUACCCAGGAGGCAGAGGUUGCAGUGAGCUAAGAUCACGCCACUGCACUCCAGCCUGGGUGACAGAGCAAGACCCUGUCUCAA